RNAcentral lists this ribosomal RNA (1271 nucleotides) under Cellulomonadaceae str. WB12. RNAcentral's name for it is "bacterial SSU rRNA". It matches the Rfam family "Bacterial small subunit ribosomal RNA", at positions 106 to 1393 of the family's 1533-position model. The record is from RNAcentral. Lineage: Bacteria; Bacillati; Actinomycetota; Actinomycetes; Micrococcales; Cellulomonadaceae.
GUGAGUCACACGUGAGUAACCUGCCCCUGACUCUGGAAUAACCGUGGGAAACGACGGCUAAUACCGGAUAUGAGACGUCCACGCAUGUGAGCGUCUGGAAAGAUUUAUCGGUCUGGGAUGGACUCGCGGCCUAUCAGCUUGUUGGUGGGGUAAUGGCCCACCAAGGCGACGACGGGUAGCCGGCCUGAGAGGGCGACCGGCCACACUGGGACUGAGAUACGGCCCAGACUCCUACGGGAGGCAGCAGUGGGGAAUAUUGCACAAUGGGCGCAAGCUGAUGCAGCGACGCCGCGUGGGGGAUGAAGGCCUUCGGGUUGUAAACCCUUUCAGCAGGGAAGAAGCGAAAGUGACGGUACCUGCAGAAGAAGCGCCGGCUAACUACGUGCCAGCAGCCGCGGUAAUACGUAGGGCGCAAGCGUUGUCCGGAAUUAUUGGGCGUAAAGAGCUCGUAGGCGGUUUGUCGCGUCUGCUGUGAAAACCCGAGGCUCAACCUCGGGCUUGCAGUGGGUACGGGCAGACUAGAGUGCGGUAGGGGUGACUGGAAUUCCUGGUGUAGCGGUGGAAUGCGCAGAUAUCAGGAGGAACACCGAUGGCGAAGGCAGGUCACUGGGCCGCAACUGACGCUGAGGAGCGAAAGCAUGGGGAGCGAACAGGAUUAGAUACCCUGGUAGUCCAUGCCGUAAACGUUGGGCACUAGGUGUGGGGCUCAUUCCACGAGUUCCGUGCCGCAGCAAACGCAUUAAGUGCCCCGCCUGGGGAGUACGGCCGCAAGGCUAAAACUCAAAGGAAUUGACGGGGGCCCGCACAAGCGGCGGAGCAUGCGGAUUAAUUCGAUGCAACGCGAAGAACCUUACCAAGGCUUGACAUACACCGGAAAAGUGCAGAGAUGUGCUCCCCGCAAGGUCGGUGUACAGGUGGUGCAUGGUUGUCGUCAGCUCGUGUCGUGAGAUGUUGGGUUAAGUCCCGCAACGAGCGCAACCCUCGUCCUAUGUUGCCAGCACGUUAUGGUGGGGACUCAUAGGAGACUGCCGGGGUCAACUCGGAGGAAGGUGGGGAUGACGUCAAAUCAUCAUGCCCCUUAUGUCUUGGGCUUCACGCAUGCUACAAUGGCCGGUACAAAGGGCUGCGAUACCGCAAGGUGGAGCGAAUCCCAAAAAGCCGGUCUCAGUUCGGAUUGGGGUCUGCAACUCGACCCCAUGAAGUCGGAGUCGCUAGUAAUCGCAGAUCAGCAACGCUGCGGUGAAUACGUUCCCGGGCCUUGUACACACCGC